This 1413-nucleotide long non-coding RNA is filed under the name Oryctolagus cuniculus (rabbit). RNAcentral describes it as "lncRNA (ENSOCUG00000031249.1)". Lineage: Eukaryota; Metazoa; Chordata; Mammalia; Lagomorpha; Leporidae. The record is from RNAcentral.
AUGUCUUUCUGGAUUAGGGUUCCCUCCUCUCUGAAGGAGACAUUUCUAGAAAGUUCUAGGGGACACGGGGCUCCCACCACUGUCCUGCUGAUUCCAAACGCUGCUUUCUCCCAAGUCGGGCUCAGGGGUGAGCUGGGAGCCCGGGGACCCCCACACCCCAUCUGGCUUCCGGUCCCCUCCGGGGGCAGCCAGCCAUCACCCCAACAGACCCUCGGCUUCUUAGGGACAGGGAGCCCGCGACUUACCUGGGUUCCAGCCCUGGGCAGUGGCGAGGGCCAGGGCAGGAAUGAAUUCAGUUCAGUUGACCUCAUUCCGGGGCUGGGGACCCCACUUCUGCCCCCACCUGGCUGCCAUGUUUGUCUUGGGUCUUUAGGGGUAGGGUGGCGUGACACCCCAAGACCACUCAGCCUCCUGCUGCCAUUCCAGCCAGUGCCCAGCGCCCACACACACGGCGCCCCCAGAGCGCCACACUCCCCGAGCCGCAGAGAGCACCCGCACUUUCUCUUUGUGCUUAGAGCAGUCCUGGGCUCAGAGAGGGAGAGGGCCCUGCCGGAGGUCACACAGCCUGGGGGGAGGGAGCGUGGGACUCCAGGCCCUUGGUGCGGACGCGGGGGGUGGGGGGACCUUCUGAGCCCCCAGCCGGGAGGGAUGAGGGCUGCAGGGUCCCGGCUCAGUGCAGGGGAUGGGAGGGACCUUCUGAGCCCCCAGCCGGGAGGGAUGAGGGCUGCAGGGUCCCAGCGGGGUCUGAGACAGGAGGCCGAGGCAGUGCGGGCAGCCGGUGCAGCCAGGGGGGAGCCCGCUGCUGCCCCAGGCCUGACAGGCGUGGCAGGAUUGUCUCAGGCCUCCUGGCUGAUGCCACACGCCAGGGCUGCGGGGGGAGAGGGGCCCAGAGGAGGGAGGAGGUUGCGCUGGGCCACAGGGAGUCAAACCCAAGCUCUUUCUCUUGCUACCGGGGCUCAGGCACUGAGAGCUCUGCCGCCCGUCGGGUUUCCCUUUUUGCGCGGCUGCCAGGAAGCUCAGAGGCCGUUCGUAAACCACCUGGGCUCGUCCUGUAAGCCAGCCAAAAUCCUCCCAGAGGCAGGGCAUGUUGUCUUGGUUCCAGUCACGUGCCUGACCCCGUUCCCUGCCUGGUCACACGCGGGGUCUUGUUGGAGCACGUGGGACAGACAGCCAUGCCCUUUUAUAGAUCUGGACACAGAGACAGAAAUCAACUUGGCCAAAGUCACAGAGCUCCUGUAUGACAGCGGCAGAAUUCGAACCCAAGACUCUGGGGCCCUCCCAGCCAAGAUCCGUCCUCUGCAGACAGGCAUGCUAGUGCCACUGGACCUGGCCCCGAGCCCCAGGGCCACCCUCCUGCCCACGGAUGUGCCCAGUGCCUGCCACUUUUCCUCACUGGCCGGGGGAGCACCCUGA